UUAGCUGCAAAGCAAACUCCAGGGACUUCUGCUCACACGUACAAGAACAAACAGGCGGAAAAGAUCAUUAUUGUCAAGAAAUAUGAGCUACCAAAAUCAUUCAAAGUCAUAAUCGAGCCUCCUUCAUUUGUUGCUUUUGACAGCAAACAUGUCAGCGGUAGAAUAUGCGCACGGUAUAACCAUGGCCAACCAGUCAUUGGAGAUCUGAAAGCUGUGAUUGCCACCGWAGUGAAGG
This is a long non-coding RNA of Exaiptasia diaphana, 235 nucleotides long. RefSeq lists it as uncharacterized. NCBI's taxonomy places the organism in Eukaryota, Metazoa, Cnidaria, Anthozoa, Actiniaria, Aiptasiidae. The transcript is spliced from 4 exons. The record is from RefSeq and is a predicted model, not a curated record.